This is an RNA transcript of Nelumbo nucifera (sacred lotus), 1639 nucleotides long. RefSeq lists it as uncharacterized. NCBI's taxonomy places the organism in Eukaryota, Viridiplantae, Streptophyta, Magnoliopsida, Proteales, Nelumbonaceae. The record is from RefSeq and is a predicted model, not a curated record.
GAAGAAUCACAUCGUUAGAUCCCCAUAGAGAUUGUUCUGUUAAAUAUUGUGAAAAAUCUAAUGGUGUAUAACUAGUAAGGACUAUUUAUUCAGGUAGGCUAAGAAACAUAGUAUCGUCCAGUCAACCUUUCCUUCCCGGACGUUUUCUCUUUCACCUCUCUGCAUCACUGCAAGUUUCUUCUUCCUCUUUUCCUUGUGAACUGUGAUUCUUCUCUUUGGUUUUCUUCCUCCGGCAUCGAUUCGUUAUCGGUGAUGGCGACACUGAUGGUUGAUUUCUGCGGCGUGUUGUCGGAAUCAAAUAAGAUCGUGAACGCUCAUUCCCGCCAUUUCCUGGCCCUCUCGGUGCUAUUCCUUCUCCCUCUCUCCUUCUCUCUCAUCUUCUACCCGACGUUCCAACAGACCGUCACCGCGCCCGAUACGAGCCCAACCGAAACCCUCCUCCGUUACACUCCGGAACAGCGAUUCCUCAUAAAAACCGUCGUUCUGUGUCUCCUUUUCACCUUCGGAACCUUCAUCCUCUCUCUCUGCGCGACAGGAACUGUCACGUACAGCGUGUUCCACGGAUUCUUUGGGCGACCAGUGAAACUGAUAUCUGCGAUCAAAUCACUGUCGAAUUCUUUCAUUCGCCUGUUUGUAACGAUUCUCUUCGCUCAAGUUAUCGUCUUGUCAAUAGCUGUUGUUCUGGGCCUCGUCAUGUUUUUUCUGAUUAAGGGGAUUGGAUUUCUAGGAUUCGAUGUCUCGCAAUCUUCGACUUGCGUUACAGUUGUUUACACGAUUGGCUUGGUGGUUUUAGUUUUAGUGGCCGUGUAUUUACAGGUGAAUUGGGCUUUAGCUUGUGUGGUCGUGGUGGUGGAGUCGAGUUGGGGAGUGGAGCCUUUGAGGCGGAGUUCGUACCUGAUAAAGGGGAUGAGAGGUGUUGCAGCUUAUCUGUUGCUAUUUUUUGGUUUAAUUUCUGGGUUGAUGUUGUGGGGCAACUGGGAACCGAUGAAUGUGGGUGAUUUGAAGGAUUGGAUGUCUGUAGUGGGGACUGUUGUUGGUUCGGCAUUUAUUAUGUUAAUUCUGCUUCAUAGCAUAUCAGCGAGCACUGUGUUGUAUAUGCACUGUAAGGCGUUACAUGGAGAGCUUGCAGGGGAGAUUGCAGAGGAGUUUGCGCAAGAGUACGUAAGCUUGCCAUUUGAUGAUAAGAAGGUUCCCCAUGUCGUGUUUGUUAUCCAACCAUGAGAUGCAUGGAGCCGGUGGAUUGAUCUUUAUGGAGUCUUAAUCCAUGAUUGCCGAUUUGAAUGAAAGUAGCAUGGUAUUUGGGAACUCAACAAAGUAGUUAAUGAUGUUAACUGAACGAUAGAUCACCUUCCAGAUUGUAUAUCUGGCGCUGUCUCCUGAAUUUUGCAUAUAUUUGUCUGAAGCCUUUUCUGAUUGGUGAAGGCUAUAUAUACCCUGGUAUAAGGCCUAAACUCAUUUAAGGUCCAGAAGCUUAUGACAAUGUGACUUUUAAUUUUGGGUUAUAUCGUUGAAUUUGUCAUAUAUAGGGAACCAAGAUAAGAUUCUCAGGACCAGAAGUGUGAAGACUCAAAAUAACCUGGUACUAUGGAUGUAUAUAGCUUUAUUAAUUUGCUUGCGUAAUGAAGUUCUCUUUACCAAA